This 113-nucleotide ribosomal RNA is filed under the name Caerostris extrusa. Lineage: Eukaryota; Metazoa; Arthropoda; Arachnida; Araneae; Araneidae. The record is from RNAcentral.
AACGGCCUUACCAUGCGGAAUAUACCUGUUCUCGUUAGAAUCACCGAAGUCAAGCAUCAUUGGGCGCGGUCAGUACUUGGGUGGGUGAGCACCUGGGAACACCGCGUGCCGUU